AGUUGUUCAGUGCGGGGGCUGACUGAGGAGGUUCGGUGUCUGAGGCCAGCUAGGCGACUCAGUGUUCCCCUUGUCAUUCCAGUUUUCAGGAAGAGCUAAAGAUGGCUGAAUUUGUAGAUGACCAGGAUACUCAACUGUGUGACAACUGCAAAAAAGAAAUUCCUGUGUUUAACUUUACCAUCCAUGAGAUCCACUGUCAAAGGAACAUUGGUAUCUGCCCCAUCUGCAAGGAGCCAUUUCCCAAAUCUGACAUGGAGAUUCACAUGGCUACAGAACACUGUCAGGUCACUUGCAAAUGUAACAAGAAGUUUGAGAAGAUGCACUUAAAGAACCAUGAGGAGACUGAGUGCCCUCUGCGGCUUGCUCUCUGCCAGAAGUGUGAUUUGGAACUUUCUGUUCUCAAACUGAAGGAACAUGAAGAUUACUGUGGUGCGCAGACAGAGCUGUGUAGCAGCUGUGGGCACAAUGUCCUUGUGAAAGAUCUGAAGACUCACCCUGAAGUCUGUGGGAGACGGGAGGAGGAAAAGAGAAAUGAGGGUGCGGUACCUCCAAAUACAUAUGAAGAGUCUUGGGGUCAAGGUGGAAUCUGGAUUGCAUCCCAGCUCCUUAGACAAAUUGAGGCACUGGACCCACACACAAGGCUACCUCGAAGGCACCUGCAAGCCCUGGAGUCAGACCUUUUCCACAGUAGGACUGCCAACCAAAGGAACAUGACAGCGCAUUUUCCAGUUGAGAAUAAUCUAUGUACAGCUGACAAGACCAUGUUGCCUUGUGAGUUUUGUGAGGAGCUCUACUCAAAGGAACUGCUGAUUGACCAUCAGACAAGUUGUAACCCUUCACGUGCCUUACCUUUGCUCAGUACUGGAAGCUCUCCCCCGAGGCGAGAGGAGGAUCCUGACGUCAUCUUCCAGAGCUUCCUGCAGCAGGCUACAAAUAAUCAGUUGGACUCUUUGAUGGGCCUGAGUGACUCAGCCCCUGUGGGAGACAGUAUCAUCAUCCCAUGUGAAUUUUGUGGGGUACAGCUGGAAGAAGAGGUGCUAUUUCAUCAUCAGGACCAGUGUGACCAACGCCCGGCCACAGCCAGCCACCAUGUGAUGGAGGGGAUUCCUCAGCAGGACUCCCAGCCUCACGCGACCUCACCAGAGCUGCCCAGGAGGCGUGUCAGACACCAGGGAGACCUGUCUUCUGGUUACAUGGAUGAUAUCAAGCAGGAAGCAGCUAGAGGCUCCACCAGCAAUGCGGCGGAGAACAUGACAACCAGCUGUACCCAAAUGUCAGAUCCCACAUCAGCCCCCAGAUCUGGUUGCCAGCCCAGCCCUCCCCGGGUGGUGAAGCUCAGCAACUCAGACAGCUAGGGCGCCCGGGGGGCGGAAUCGAAACGGCCCCAUUGGGGCCCAGGCUGCUGCGCCUGCUCCGGGGAUGCACUCCAUGCGCAGUCUGUAUCCAGAAAGCCUUGUGCCCUCUUUCUCUCGAGGGCCUGUAGGGAGGCAUGGAGCCAGUGGUAGGAGUGAAGGUGGCAGGAGCUCCCGAGUCCCCUCUGCAGCCACCAGUUACCGUGGCAGAACUGCAAAGGCCAAGCCCCCAAAGCAGCAGGGAGCUGGGGAUGCAGAGGAAGAGGAGGAGGAGGAGGAGUGAUGUCUGCGGAGACCCCUCCCCUGGGGCCCUACCUUCUAUGCAGAGCAGCACCUGCCGUGGAUCA
Molecule: RNA transcript, 1699 nt
Organism: Octodon degus (degu)
Lineage: Eukaryota; Metazoa; Chordata; Mammalia; Rodentia; Octodontidae
Gene name: TRAF-type zinc finger domain-containing protein 1 pseudogene
Exons: 1
Source: RefSeq, a predicted model, not a curated record